Molecule: ribosomal RNA, 846 nt
Filed under: uncultured crenarchaeote
Lineage: Archaea; Thermoproteati; Thermoproteota
Description: bacterial SSU rRNA
Rfam family: Archaeal small subunit ribosomal RNA
Source: RNAcentral
GGACCCGACUGCUAUCGGAUUGGGACUAAGCCAUGCGAGUCAACUCCGCAAGGGGUGGCGCACGGCUCAGUAACACGUAGUCAACCUACCCUAGGGACGGGGAUAACCUCGGGAAACUGAGGCUAAACCCUGAUAGGCUAUAGCCUCUGGAAUGAGCUAUAGCUGAAAUCUAUAUGGCCCUAGGAUGGGACUGCGGCCGAUCAGGUAGUUGGUGGGGUAAUGGCCCACCAAGCCUAUAACCGGUGCGGGCUCUGAGAGGAGGAGCCCGGAGAUGGGCACUGAGACAAGGGCCCAGGUCCUAUGGGGCGCAGCAGGCGCGAAACCUCCGCAAUGGGCGAAAGCCCGACGGGGUUAGUCCGAGUGGCCCCUGCUGAAGGGGCCUUUUGCCAGCUGUAAAAAGGCUGGCGAAUAAGGGGUGGGCAAGUUUGGUGUCAGCCGCCGCGGUAAUACCAGCACCCCGAGUGGUCGGGACGAUUAUUGGGCCUAAAGCAUCCGUAGCCGGCUUAGUAAGUCCUCCGUUAAAUCCAACGGCUUAACCGUUGGGCUGCGGAGGAUACUGCUAAGCUAGGGGGCGGGAGAGGCGAGGGGUAUUCCCAGGGUAGGGGUAAAAUCCGUUGAUCCUGGGAGGACCACCAGUGGCGAAGGCGCCUCGCUAGAACGCGCCCGACGGUGAGGGAUGAAAGCUGGGGGAGCGAACCGGAUUAGAUACCCGGGUAGUCCCAGCCGUAAACGAUGUAGCUCGAUGUUGGGUUACCCAAGUGGUAGCCCAGUGUCGNAGGAAGCCGUUAAGCCUACCGCUGGGGAGUACAGCCGCAAGGCCUGAAACUUAAAGGAUUGGNCGGGGUR